Molecule: non-coding RNA, 76 nt
Organism: Parelaphostrongylus tenuis
Lineage: Eukaryota; Metazoa; Nematoda; Chromadorea; Rhabditida; Metastrongylidae
Source: the annotation of a GenBank genome assembly
GGCAUCGAUAGUGCAAAUGGUUGAGCACACACCUCCGAAAAGGGUGAGAUGCAGGUUCAACUCUCGCCUGAAGUCA